This 344-nucleotide long non-coding RNA is filed under the name Sorghum bicolor (sorghum). RNAcentral's name for it is "long non-coding RNA (SBIC_LNC005571)". Lineage: Eukaryota; Viridiplantae; Streptophyta; Magnoliopsida; Poales; Poaceae. The record is from RNAcentral.
UUUAAAGGUAAAGAAUAACGGAGAAAAUUACAGUUGUCUCUUCUGUAGUAGCAAGAAGAAGAAUAAUUACAGUAAAAGUAGUCUAGUUCAGCAUGCCUCAGGAGUAAGUGCAGCGCCUAAUCGGAAGGCAAAAGAAAAAGCAGCCCAUCGUGCCCUCUUCAAGUAUUUGAAGAAUGAUCUUGCUAAAUCAUCUGAACCACAGCCACUUGUAAUUCCUGUGGAGCCACAACCUCUUCAGAACAGAGAUGAGAAGUUUGUGUGGCCCUGGAUGGGCAUCCUAGUUAAUGUGCCUACUGAAUGGAAGGAUGGGCGCCAAAUUGGAGAAAGUGGAAAUCGUUUGAAGG